AGAGUUUGAUCAUGGCUCAGGACGAACGCUGGCGGCGUGCCUAAUACAUGCAAGUAGAACGCUGAAGAAAGGAGCUUGCUUCUUUUGGAUGAGUUGCGAACGGGUGAGUAACGCGUAGGUAACCUGCCUUGUAGCGGGGGAUAACUAUUGGAAACGAUAGCUAAUACCGCAUAACAGCUUUUGACACAUGUUAGAAGCUUGAAAGAUGCAAUUGCAUCACUACGAGAUGGACCUGCGUUGUAUUAGCUAGUAGGUAGGGUAACGGCCUACCUAGGCGACGAUACAUAGCCGACCUGAGAGGGUGAUCGGCCACACUGGGACUGAGACACGGCCCAGACUCCUACGGGAGGCAUCAGUAGGGAAUCUUCGGCAAUGGGGGCAACCCUGACCGAGCAACGCCGCGUGAGUGAAGAAGGUUUUCGGAUCGUAAAGCUCUGUUGUAAGAGAAGAACGUGUGUGAGAGUGGAAAGUUCACACAGUGACGGUAACUUACCAGAAAGGGACGGCUAACUACGUGCCAGCAGCCGCGGUAAUACGUAGGUCCCGAGCGUUGUCCGGAUUUAUUGGGCGUAAAGCGAGCGCAGGCGGUUUAAUAAGUCUAAAGUUAAAGGCAGUGGCUUAACCAUUGUUCGCUUUGGAAACUGUUAAACUUGAGUGCAGAAGGGGAGAGUGGAAUUCCAUGUGUAGCGGUGAAAUGCGUAGAUAUAUGGAGGAACACCGGUGGCGAAAGCGGCUCUCUGGUCUGUAACUGACGCUGAGGCUCGAAAGCGUGGGGAGCAAACAGGAUUAGAUACCCUGGUAGUCCACGCCGUAAACGAUGAGUGCUAGGUGUUAGGCCCUUUCCGGGGCUUAGUGCCGCAGCUAACGCAUUAAGCACUCCGCCUGGGGAGUACGACCGCAAGGUUGAAACUCAAAGGAAUUGACGG
This 926-nucleotide ribosomal RNA is filed under the name uncultured bacterium. RNAcentral describes it as "bacterial SSU rRNA". It matches the Rfam family "Bacterial small subunit ribosomal RNA", at positions 8 to 916 of the family's 1533-position model. The record is from RNAcentral.